Small nucleolar RNA from Papio anubis (olive baboon), 80 nucleotides. The record is from Ensembl. Lineage: Eukaryota; Metazoa; Chordata; Mammalia; Primates; Cercopithecidae.
ACAAACAGGCUCUGAUGAAACCUAUCUUGAUAGAGACAUCUGAAAGUGUUGAUGAAUGCCAAGGACUCUAAUGGAAAAGA